UCUAUUUAGAUAUAACACGGUUAUCUAAUGAUAAUUUUAUAUAAUUUAACAUUUUAAAUAUAAGCUUUUUUUUUUUGAAAGAUAGAUAGCACGCUACCCGCUUCGCUUAUUUUAUUUAAAAAUAAAUAAAUUUAACUGAAAAUAUGAAUCAACUAGAAUUCGAACUUGGAUCUCAGAUACGAACCACAAAAUUUUUUGCCACUUGCUUUAGGGACGGUCGGUCAUAUAUGAGCAAUUUUGUUCUUGUACCGAUUGAUUAAAUAAACAGAUAUAUCAAUAAAACAUAAAUGCAUCCAAAUAAACCUUUUUUCUUUU
RNAcentral lists this long non-coding RNA (315 nucleotides) under Ananas comosus (pineapple). RNAcentral's name for it is "long non-coding RNA (ACOM_LNC037548)". The record is from RNAcentral. Lineage: Eukaryota; Viridiplantae; Streptophyta; Magnoliopsida; Poales; Bromeliaceae.